GUGACCGCUUCCGCGCGUGCGCCCAGGAAUGCCUGUUAAAAGAAAAGGUGUCUCGUUCUUUUGCUGUCACCAAUAAGGCGCCUUGAUUAUGUCACCGAAGCCUCUUUCUUUUAUAGGCAAAGCAUUGCGGGCCUGUCCGGUGUGGCAUCUUCGGACAGAGCCUUGGCUUGGAGAGCUGGUUCUAUUGUGGGGUAUUACAACAUAUCGAAGUUGCACAAGUGCUGAAGAGGUGUGGAAUACAGAGGAGUCAUUAAGUUCCUUUACUUGAAAGCCGCACACCAAAGAAGACGUUUAAUGACAUGAAAGAGGUUUAUGGUGAUAAUUCCCAA
This is a non-coding RNA of Anolis sagrei ordinatus, 329 nucleotides long. The record is from RefSeq and is a predicted model, not a curated record. NCBI's taxonomy places the organism in Eukaryota, Metazoa, Chordata, Lepidosauria, Squamata, Anolidae.